GAUGAACGCUGGCGGCGUGCCUAAUACAUGCAAGUCGAGCGAACGGACGAGAAGCUUGCCUCUCUGGUGUUAGCGGCGGACGGGUGAGUAACACGUGGAUAACCUACCUAUAAGACUGGGAUAACUUCGGGAAACCGGAGCUAAUACCGGAUAAUAUUUUGAACCGCAUGGUUCAAAAGUGAAAGACGGUCUUGCUGUCACUUAUAGAUGGAUCCGCGCUGCAUUAGCUAGUUGGUAAGGUAACGGCUUACCAAGGCAACGAUGCAUAGCCGACCUGAGAGGGUGAUCGGCCACACUGGAACUGAGACACGGUCCAGACUCCUACGGGAGGCAGCAGUAGGGAAUCUUCCGCAAUGGGCGAAAGCCUGACGGAGCAACGCCGCGUGAGUGAUGAAGGUCUUCGGAUCGUAAAACUCUGUUAUUAGGGAAGAACAUAUGUGUAAGUAACUGUGCACAUCUUGACGGUACCUAAUCAGAAAGCCACGGCUAACUACGUG
RNAcentral lists this ribosomal RNA (497 nucleotides) under uncultured bacterium. Its description in RNAcentral is "partial 16S ribosomal RNA". It matches the Rfam family "Bacterial small subunit ribosomal RNA", at positions 28 to 507 of the family's 1533-position model. The record is from RNAcentral.